UACGAAGGGGGCUAGCGUUGCUCGGAAUCACUGGGCGUAAAGGGCGCGUAGGCGGCCAUUCAAGUCGGGGGUGAAAGCCCAGGGCUCAACCCUGGAAUUGCCUUCGAUACUGUUUGGCUAGAGACCGGAAGAGGUUAGUGGAACUGCGAGUGUAGAGGUGAAAUUCGUAGAUAUUCGCAAGAACACCAGUGGCGAAGGCGGCUCACUGGCCCGGUACUGACGCUGAGGUGCGAAAGCGUGGGGAGCAAACAGG
Molecule: ribosomal RNA, 253 nt
Filed under: uncultured bacterium
Lineage: Bacteria
Description: partial 16S ribosomal RNA
Rfam family: Bacterial small subunit ribosomal RNA
Source: RNAcentral